RNAcentral lists this ribosomal RNA (421 nucleotides) under uncultured bacterium. RNAcentral describes it as "partial 16S ribosomal RNA". It matches the Rfam family "Bacterial small subunit ribosomal RNA", at positions 355 to 769 of the family's 1533-position model. The record is from RNAcentral.
UGGGGAAUUUUGGACAAUGGGCGAAAGCCUGAUCCAGCAAUGCCGCGUGUGUGAAGAAGGCCUUCGGGUUGUAAAGCACUUUUGUCCGGAAGGAAAUCCUUGGCUCUAAUACAGUCGGGGGAUGACGGUACCGGAGGAAUAAGCACCGGCUAACUACGUGCCAGCAGCCGCGGUAAUACGUAGGGUGCAAGCGUUAAUCGGAAUUACUGGGCGUAAAGCGUGCGCAGGCGGUUUGCUAAGACCGAUGUGAAAUCCCCGGGCUCAACCUGGGAACUGCAUGGUGACUGGCAGGCUAGAGUAUGGCAGAGGGGGGUAGAAUUCCACGUGUAGCAGUGAAAUGCGUAGAGAUGUGGAGGAAUACCGAUGGCGAAGGCAGCCCCCUGGGCCAAUACUGACGCUCAUGCACGAAAGCGUGGGGAGC